AGAGAGGGAGACUGCCACAGUCAGGAAAAGGCCUUGAAUCCAGGGGUGCCUGGCUGGGUCUCUUUCCUGAGUAAUGACCAUAUCUCACCCUAGAUCCUUUUCUCGCUAGGCUUUGGCCACCUUGGCCUUCUAUAGAUGGCUUAACGUUUUUCAUGCCUCAGGGCCUUUGCACAAACAGUGCUCUCUGCUCAAGGUAUCCUCCUCCCAGAGCUAAUCACGAGUGGCUCUUUCCCCUGCCCCUGCUCUAUGCUCAAAUGUCACUUCUGAGAGAGUCCUUUCCCGGCCUCAGUAUUUCCUACCAUGAUCCCCACUUCCUUCCUCACAGGGCACUGUGCUUAUCUUGGGUGUUUUCUAGUUCAGCUUCUUGCUGUAUGGCUCUUCCGGUAGAGCACGCCUCCUCCGGGCAGGGUUUGAGUGUCCAGGUUUCCUAGGUCCCUGCAAAGAAUGUUCAGAGAAGAUGUGAGGGGCCCCUGAGAGGCAGAAACCCCCACCAAGGAGCCACAGCUCUUAGGCCUGCCGAGAACCCCUCCAGUGGCCAGCCUUGCCCUGUCCCCAGGACCACCCUGGCCCUGCCCUCGAUUGCUCAGAGCUUCCCUUCUGUGGCCACCCCGAUGGCCCUCGUCAGAAUUUGUCCACAACCUAAUCACAGUUCUGCACCAUCCUUGGUCAGCCACAUGCAGUGUCUGCCUGUCCUGGCACAGGGUUCCCUCCAGCACACAACACGUGCCAUCCUGUGAGGGGCCAGUUAGGGUCCUCUCAGGGUGUGGGUGCUGAAUCAGACAUUGUCCCUGGCCUUAAGACUCCUAGUCUACUAGGAGGGAAAAACAAUUCCUUGCCCACCAGCUUUGUCUCUUUUGAGGAAAGAGUUCCCCAGAGGUCGGCAGGCCUUGCUCUUCCUCCUGCCUUUGUGGCUCCCUAGCUGGGAGGCCUGGGCCAAGUUAUCUCAUGGUGGCACUCUGGGUGGCACUUUGCUCCUCCGUAAAUGAGAAUAAAUCAUCUUCUGGCUGCAUCACCACGGCAGCUGUCUGUGCCGCCGUCCUGGUGGUGGCCUGCGCAGGGCUCUGGGAGUCAACCUGGGACUAGACCUACCCCCCUGCUUCCCACCUCCCAGGGGCCUCAGGAAGUUUCCCCUGAGUUAACUCUAUGAACUCACUUUCCUCCUCUGUAGAAAGGAGCGGACACGGUGCCCGCCUCCCAGAUCUGCUGUGAGAGGGAAGUGAGAGGAGGCUGUGCGGGUUAAGUCUGGGGCCGGCUUCAGAGCAACUGCCCAGUCUGCCUGGGACAUUAUUAAGAGUUACAGCGCAGGAGCCUGACACACAGCAGACUCGCCAUUAAUGUCAUCCCCUUCCUUCCUGCCCAAGAGGAUGGAUUCCAUCCUUGUGCACAAUCCUGGGGCAAUCGAGGGGGGGGGGUGGGCAGGGAGGGCAGAACCCCCACACCCCUCCCCUGCAUGACAGCUGGGUUUGCUACUCCCAAGUGCCACCAGCAGAGCCCAGAGUACAAGUAAAGCCAGCCCAACAGAACCAUCGUAGAAAAUCCACAGGAGCCUGUGAAACCUGAGUUACACUGCUGUAUAAAGAUCAAAGGUUCUUUGACAGAAGAGCAAAUCUCCCAGUUGGAGUUGUGGAGAAACCCACCAUUUCAAAUACCCAAGAGUUCUUACAGAAACCCGGCUGAGCUCCCG
Molecule: long non-coding RNA, 1684 nt
Filed under: Marmota monax (woodchuck)
Lineage: Eukaryota; Metazoa; Chordata; Mammalia; Rodentia; Sciuridae
Source: RNAcentral